RNAcentral lists this ribosomal RNA (528 nucleotides) under uncultured Bacteroidota bacterium. RNAcentral describes it as "bacterial SSU rRNA". It matches the Rfam family "Bacterial small subunit ribosomal RNA", at positions 337 to 864 of the family's 1533-position model. Lineage: Bacteria; Pseudomonadati; Bacteroidota. The record is from RNAcentral.
UCCUACGGGAGGCAGCAGUAGGGAAUAUUGGUCAAUGGACGAAAGUCUGAACCAGCCAUUCCGCGUGCAGGAUGACGGUCCUAUGGAUUGUAAACUGCUUUUAGCAGAGAAGAAACGCCUUCAUUUAUGAGGGUCUGACGGUAUCUGCGGAAUAAGCACCGGCUAACUCCGUGCCAGCAGCCGCGGUAAUACGGGGGGUGCAAGCGUUAUCCGGAAUCACUGGGUUUAAAGGGUGCGUAGGCGGGACAUUAAGUCAGUGGUGAAAGUCUGUUGCUUAACAAUAGAAUUGCCGUUGAUACUGGUGUUCUUGAAUUGGGUUGAGGUUAGCGGAAUGUGACAUGUAGCGGUGAAAUGCAUAGAUAUGUCAUGGAACACCAAUUGCGAAGGCAGCUAGCUGGGCCUUGAUUGACGCUGAGGCACGAAAGCGUGGGGAGCAAACAGGAUUAGAUACCCUGGUAGUCCACGCCCUAAACGAUGCUAACUCGAUGUUUGCCUGUAAAGGGUGAGCAUCCAAGGGAAACCGAUAAG